GAUGAAGAAGAGGAGGAGGAGGAGGGGAGAAAAACGGAGGAGCUGAAUGACUGAAGAGACACUUCCUCAUUCAAUGCAGAUCAGCAAACUAACCACCAACAUUAACUCUCUUCAACAUGGACUAUGAGCUUUUGGUGAUCAUUACCUCACUAACAGGUGUCAUCUGUCAACACGUUACUCCAGUGAAAGACGAGAAGUCUGGUUCAGCAGACAGCCCUGUUUCUCUAUCCUGCAACUACAGUAAAGGUGCAGCAGAUUAUUUCUUCUGGUAUCGACAACAUCCAGGGAAACCUCCAGAGUUCCUGACAUUUAAUACGGAAGUUGAAGAAACGCAGAAAGAAUCUCGGUCUAGACUCUCUGGUAGAGUUCGAAAACAGGAAAGCCAGAUGGAUCUGCUGAUCUCCUCUGCUGCAGUGACAGACUCUGCUGUGUACUACUGCGCUGUGAGGCCCACAGUGACAGGAAACACCAGAACCCAGUACAAAAACCUGCAGUACUCCACAGCAACCACUAGAGGGCCUCCCUCCCUGUUAAUCCACUGGUUGUUGAGUCUUUAGACUGAAGACAAAGACAACAGAGACAUGAAGCAGUAAAGAUCAGACAGAGCUGCUGAGGAAGCAGAAAACGCUCUGAUUGGUUGAGUUGAAGUGGCCCCGCCCACUGACCUUCAGCUCAUUCAAUGACAUCAUUUCUUCCUCUUUCUGCUGCAGUGGAAGAACAUUGUUGAUCUGCAGUGU
Xiphophorus hellerii (green swordtail) is the source of this 737-nucleotide non-coding RNA. The record is from the annotation of a RefSeq genome assembly. NCBI's taxonomy places the organism in Eukaryota, Metazoa, Chordata, Actinopteri, Cyprinodontiformes, Poeciliidae.